Molecule: ribosomal RNA, 248 nt
Filed under: uncultured bacterium
Lineage: Bacteria
Description: partial 16S ribosomal RNA
Rfam family: Bacterial small subunit ribosomal RNA
Source: RNAcentral
GCAAGUCGAGGGGUAACAGAGGUGCUUGCACUUGCUGACGACCGGCGCACGGGUGGUAACGCGUAUACAAUCUGCCUUGUACUAGGGGAUAGCCUUUGGAAACGAAGAUUAAUACCCUAUAGUAAGUAAUUAUUGCAUCAUAAUUACUUUAAAGGUUACGGUACAAGAUGAGUAUGCGUCCUAUUAGUUAGUUGGUGAGGUAAUGGCUUACCAAGACGUCGAUAGGUAGGGGCCCUGAGAGGGGGAUC